AGAAGUAAUAUUUUCCAAAUUGAAUACUCAUUUUCAUCUGUUAUGCUUAUUUUAUUCAGUGGACAUGUGGAUAUGAUAUUCAUUUUCAAAAUCAUCCUCCCCAAAAAAUCAAAUAAUAAUCCCCUUUCCUUUCAACUUUAUACCUAUAUGUACUACCUCUAUACCUUUGUCUUCAGAUCUAAUCCUCUUGCACACUGUUUUUG
This 203-nucleotide long non-coding RNA is filed under the name Mytilus galloprovincialis (Mediterranean mussel). Lineage: Eukaryota; Metazoa; Mollusca; Bivalvia; Mytilida; Mytilidae. The record is from RNAcentral.